AUUGAACGCUGGCGGCAUGCUUUACACAUGCAAGGCGGACGGCAGCACAGAGAAGCUUGCUUCUUGGGUGGCGAGUGGCGAACGGGUGAGUAAUAUAUCGGAACGUACCGAGUAAUGGGGGAUAACUAAUCGAAAGAUUAGCUAAUACCGCAUAUUCUCUGAGGAGGAAAGCAGGGGACCUUCGGGCCUUGCGUUAUUCGAGCGGCCGAUAUCUGAUUAGCUAGUUGGUGGGGUAAAGGCCUACCAAGACGACGAUCAGUAGCGGGUCUGAGAGGAUGAUCCGCCACACUGGGACUGAGACACGGCCCAGACUCCUACGGGAGGCAGCAGUGGGGAAUUUUGGACAAUGGGCGCAAGCCUGAUCCAGCCAUGCCGCGUGUCUGAAGAAGGCCUUCGGGUUGUAAAGGACUUUUGUCAGGGAAGAAAAGGCUGUUGCUAAUACCGACAGCUGAUGACGGUACCUGAAGAAUAAGCACCGGCUAACUACGUG
Molecule: ribosomal RNA, 490 nt
Filed under: uncultured bacterium
Lineage: Bacteria
Description: partial 16S ribosomal RNA
Rfam family: Bacterial small subunit ribosomal RNA
Source: RNAcentral